AUUUGUAUGCCGGAGCUUCGUACUUGGGAGCGUAUUCGGCUGACCUGUAAGAAUCGGCGGCAGCGACAGCGAAAAGGGCGGCGAGGAUCAAGAACUAAUAAAAUAUGGAACAUUUGACGCCAUUUAAUAAGAUAUAGGUCUACAACUCUCCAUGACGUCCAUGCCCAUCUCCACAUCCUCUUUCAUGUCGUCCAUGUGUUGCUUUCAUUGCCCGUUUUACUCACUACCUGGUGCAAAACAAAAUAAUGGGUCCUCGGGUCACCUCAGCGCAUGCACUUUCAUAGGCACUUUCAUGCCGAAUCGAUGACCACGAAGCGCUUCACGCUCAAGGCCAGCACAUUUUUCUGAAUUGUGUAUCCAUAUUCUGAAUGCAGUUUUUGUCCAUUGUCGUCGUGUUUCCGUGAACCAAAUUUGUAUGCCGGAGCUUCAUACUUGGGAGCGUAUUCGGCUGACCUGUAAGAAUCGGCGGCAGCGACAGCGAAAAGGGCGGCGAGGAUCAAGAACUAAUAAAAUAUGGAUUAUUUGACACCAUUUAAUAAG
This 540-nucleotide long non-coding RNA is filed under the name Daphnia pulex (common water flea). Its description in RNAcentral is "uncharacterized LOC124202684, transcript variant X2". The record is from RNAcentral. Lineage: Eukaryota; Metazoa; Arthropoda; Branchiopoda; Diplostraca; Daphniidae.